AGAGUUUGAUCCUGGCUCAGGAUGAAUGCUGGCGGCGUGCCUAACACAUGCAAGUCGAGCGGCAGCGCGGGUAGUUUACUACCUGGCGGCGAGCGGCGGACGGCUGAGUAACGCGUGGGAACGUGCCCCAAAGUGAGGAAUAACUGCCCGAAAGGGUGGCUAAUGCCGCAUAUGAUCUUCGGAUUAAAGUCUUCGGACGCUUUGGGAGCGGCCCGCGUCGGAUUAGGUUGUUGGUGAGGUAAUGGCUCACCAAGCCGACGAUCCGUAGCUGGUCUGAGAGGAUGAUCAGCCAGACUGGAACUGAGACACGGUCCAGACUCCUACGGGAGGCAGCAGUGAGGAAUCUUCCACAAUGGGCGAAAGCCUGAUGGAGCAACGCCGCGUGCAGGAUGAAGGCCUUCGGGUCGUAAACUGCUUUUAUAAGUGAAGAAUAUGACGGUAACUUAUGAAUAAGCACCGGCUAACUACGUGCCAGCAGCCGCGGUCAUACGUAGGGUGCAAGCAUUAUCCGGAGUGACUGGGCGUAAAGAGUUGCGUAGGUGGUUUGUUAAGUAGGUAGUGAAAUCUGGCGGCUCAACCGUACAGGCUAUUACCUAAACUGGCAAACUCGAGAAUGGUAGAGGUAACUGGAAUUUCUAGUGUAGGAGUGAAAUCCGUAGAUAUUAGAAGGAACACCAAUGGCGUAGGCAGGUUACUGGACCAUUUCUGACACUGAGGCACGAAAGCGUGGGGAGCGAACGGGAUUAGAUACCCCGGUAGUCCACGCCGUAAACGAUG
RNAcentral lists this ribosomal RNA (777 nucleotides) under marine metagenome. RNAcentral describes it as "bacterial SSU rRNA". It matches the Rfam family "Bacterial small subunit ribosomal RNA", at positions 8 to 811 of the family's 1533-position model. The record is from RNAcentral.